Molecule: ribosomal RNA, 105 nt
Filed under: Lepisosteus oculatus (spotted gar)
Lineage: Eukaryota; Metazoa; Chordata; Actinopteri; Semionotiformes; Lepisosteidae
Source: RNAcentral
UAUAGCAGCCAUAUCACUCUGCAUCCCACUGAAGCUAAACAGGUGUGAGCCUGGUUAGUAACUGGAUGAGAGACCUCCUGGGAAAAACUAAGGUUGCUGCUGGAA